Non-coding RNA from Lentinula raphanica, 95 nucleotides. Lineage: Eukaryota; Fungi; Basidiomycota; Agaricomycetes; Agaricales; Omphalotaceae. The record is from the annotation of a GenBank genome assembly.
GCAUUAAUGGGGUAGUGGUAACCUGGGUCGUUGCCAUGGACUGUCAUCAGGAAUCUAGUUUCGACCCGCCGGGGGUUCGAUUCCCCCUUAAUGCA